AUAGGAUUUUAAGAAAGCAGAAUUGUAAUGUGGAGUGAAAAGAAAAGCGAGAGGUUGGGUCGGAAACUAGGUUAUCAGUACAAUGCAGAAAGGGAAAAUAAAUGCUAAUAGACUGCACAUAUGCCCUUCCCACUAGAUUAGAGACCAGGAGGGCGCCUGCUGGAUUCGGCCCAUUGUGUGGCCGAACAGAACACAGGGUCUGGGCUAUUAUCCCCUCCACAGCCCCUUGUGCCACAGAUGGUUCUUCUUGCUUCUCUUAUCGGGCCGUGCAUUCAGUCUCUGUAGCUUGAUCUCUUCCUCACUCUUCUGCUCAUACAAAAUGGAUUGAUCUGCUGAAAGAGAGGGGCUGGAGAGAGGCUGUCUCGGGAGGAAAGGGGAGGGUGUGAAGACAAAAGCCGGGGAGGCCAGGUGCAGUGAUGGGGUGGGGAGGGAAGAGAGAGACUCAGUGCCUUGCUGGGGACAGCCCCGUUAGCAGUCAGCAGCCUUGUCUCCCCUAGGCCUCGAGCUCAGCCGCCUGGAAAAUGGCCUUGUGCCUUUGUGCUCUGGACAGCCAAAGCUCUCAGGUGUUGAACAAGCAAGCAGCGCUGACUGCCUUUUCUCCCUUCCCUGGGGAUGCUGAACGUCUAGGGCUGGCGUUGCUGGUGGUCCCCUCCCAGGAGACCCAAAGCUCUGCCUUUGAGCUGACUGACGAGCUGCAAAUUCAGCAAAGGUGAGCAGGGGUUGAGAACCGUGGCCUUAUGAGAGACAGCCCUCCCAGGAGAGCCAGCUGUCCCAAGACAGCCUACCUGGAAGGAUGGAAGGGUCAUUCCUCAGGGCUGAAUCCAGAGCCCAAGGUGUGCUGAACACAAGUCUCCUCCUGAUCUGGAUCCACAAGAGGUUGUAUGACUGAGAGCACAUCCAGGCUCCUUUACUUACAAGCUGUGGGGCCUCCAGACAUUUGCCCAGCUGUAUUCAUAGUGUUACUGGUGAAGAUUAAAUGGGUUGGUCAUGGAAAGAUCUCAGAACAAUGAGUGGCUUAGAAUAAUACCUUAAAACUUAGCUAUGAUUUUCAUCAUCAUCAUGGUCAUCAUCAUCAUCAUCAUAUAUCUAUAUUAGAACCAUUUUCUAUUAACAUUACAUAUUAUCAGUAUUACAAUGUACCUCCGUAUGAGACAUCAUGGCAUAAUUGAGAGAACAUGGACUUUGUGGACAGGCAGUUUGAGACCUCACCCUGACACUCAAAUCACACAGUAUUUGUGUGAUUUUUGGUGUGUUACUUCUCUUUUCAAGCCUCAGUUUCCUAACUGUGAGGUGGGGCUAAUGCUAUAAAUUACCCAGUACAGAGCCUGCACAUUAGAGCAGUUCGAUACAUGGGAGCUGUCACUCUUCAGAAUAGCCCAUGCAAACACAUGUUAUGUGUACCUGUGCGUGCCUGUGUGUCAUUGAGUUUGGGUGGUCAGUUUCUGCUGGUGUGUGUUGAACAUAGAACCUAGAAGCAAGUGUCUGAAACAGCAGAACAGACUGGGACAGGGAGAGGCUGGCAAGAAGGAAUGUAAGCAGAAUCAGAGACAAGGACCUCAGAAUUCCAGUCCUGGUUCAUUGCCCUAAUACCUCUUUCCCUUCUUCCUGUGGCAGGUGCCUGUGGGCUACAGGCCUGGGCCUUAAUGGGUCAAGUCCUGCUUGUGGCUCCUGUCAACCUUCAAGCACAACUUCUCUCUCUCCUGGAACUGAGCAGCUUUGUGUACUUUGAAGCCCCUAAAUGCAGUUUGGGGGGCUCUUGAUCAGGGAGUUAAGAGGUUCAAGUUAAUCCUGGCUCCCCAUCAGUGGAAAAUGAGGAAUAGCGCAAGGACCUUUUUCUCAAUGUGCCUUAGUUUCACCAUCUGUAAACAGAGGGCUGGGGCAGACAAAUCCCAUAUCCCCUGUCCCCCACAGCAAAAUCUUACAUCCAGAUGAAGUGUGUCCUGUCCUCUGAGCAUCUUUUUGCUGCAUCUUUGCAAGGAAGAUUGUAAAUGUCGGUGUGAACGUAGAAAGAAGUGUCUGAAACAGCAGAACUGACUGGGACAGGGAGAGGCUGGCAAGAAGCAAUCAUUUGAUAUUAAGCCCCUGCUAAACAUCAAGCUUGUCAUGAAGAAAUGAGGUCAGCACACAAAGGGAAUGCCCCUUGGAGAAACUCAGCACUCCAUUUGGAGCUAACUGGACCAAUUCUUGACCAGUGAAAAGAUAAAUCCAGUGUAAGGUGCAAGCACCUGCUUUUAACAUGAUGCCAUUGUGAUUUUAGCUGCUGCUCACAGGGUCACUUGCAGAACAAAACUGACUCUGGGAAAAGAAAGUCUUCAGUAUUUUGAAUCCAUUGAUACACAGGUGAAACAAAUCAGUUUGCAUUUUCCCUAUACUUUCAACACUUUGUUUCUGAAUAAUAAUAAAAGAGUUCCUGAAGCAAAUACUAUUUUGAGCCUAAUUUCUGGAGGCUCCUAGCAGGCAAAUCACUCUUUCUCUUGCGGUGAUGUUCUUUUUAGUCUUAAAAAGAAAAGACUUAAGGGAAGAAGCUGUCUUUUAUUUUUCAAACAUUGAGCAGGUGCCUUGAGGAAGAAGCCCUGGGUGCCUUGGUGGCUGCGGUGGGUAGAACAGGGGGAGACAGGUAGAGGGGGCAAGUGGAGAUUUGGACUGGAAAAUAGAAUACUCCAGUUCAGCAGUUCCCAACCAGGCUGUACAGUAGAGCCACUUGGGGAUGUUUUAAAAAGAACCAAUUCCCGCUCCCCUCCCUAGGUAAUACUGAUUUAGCUUGUCUGGCACAGGGCCUGGGAAUCUGCAUAUUUGAAAGACCCAUUCUCUACCUAGGAAAUCAGAAUUAUUACAGGAGAAGUGUGGGAACUAUAUUUUAAAAAAAUGGCUGGCUAGGCACGGUGGUUCACAC
This 2893-nucleotide long non-coding RNA is filed under the name Homo sapiens (human). Its description in RNAcentral is "HSALNT0301117". Lineage: Eukaryota; Metazoa; Chordata; Mammalia; Primates; Hominidae. The record is from RNAcentral.